AAAUUGAAGAGUUUGAUCAUGGCUCAGAUUGAACGCUGGCGGCAGGCCUAACACAUGCAAGUCGAACGGUAACAGGAAGCAGCUUGCUGCUUUGCUGACGAGUGGCGGACGGGUGAGUAAUGUCUGGGAAACUGCCUGAUGGAGGGGGAUAACUACUGGAAACGGUGGCUAAUACCGCAUAACGUCGCAAGACCAAAGAGGGGGACCUUCGGGCCUCUUGCCAUCAGAUGUGCCCAGAUGGGAUUAGCUUGUUGGUGAGGUAACGGCUCACCAAGGCGACGAUCCCUAGCUGGUCUGAGAGGAUGACCAGCCACACUGGAACUGAGACACGGUCCAGACUCCUACGGGAGGCAGCAGUGGGGAAUAUUGCACAAUGGGCGCAAGCCUGAUGCAGCCAUGCCGCGUGUAUGAAGAAGGCCUUCGGGUUGUAAAGUACUUUCAGCGGGGAGGAAGGUGUUGCGGUUAAUAACCGCAGCAAUUGACGUUACCCGCAGAAGAAGCACCGGCUAACUCCGUGCCAGCAGCCGCGGUAAUACGGAGGGUGCAAGCGUUAAUCGGAAUUACUGGGCGUAAAGCGCACGCAGGCGGUCUGUCAAGUCGGAUGUGAAAUCCCCGGGCUCAACCUGGGAACUGCAUUCGAAACUGGCAGGCUUGAGUCUUGUAGAGGGGGGUAGAAUUCCAGGUGUAGCGGUGAAAUGCGUAGAGAUCUGGAGGAAUACCGGUGGCGAAGGCGGCCCCCUGGACAAAGACUGACGCUCAGGUGCGAAAGCGUGGGGAGCAAACAGGAUUAGAUACCCUGGUAGUCCACGCCGUAAACGAUGUCUACUUGGAGGUUGUGCCCUUGAGGCGUGGCUUCCGGAGCUAACGCGUUAAGUAGACCGCCUGGGGAGUACGGCCGCAAGGUUAAAACUCAAAUGAAUUGACGGGGGCCCGCACAAGCGGUGGAGCAUGUGGUUUAAUUCGAUGCAACGCGAAGAACCUUACCUGGUCUUGACAUCCACAGAACUUUCCAGAGAUGGAUUGGUGCCUUCGGGAACUGUGAGACAGGUGCUGCAUGGCUGUCGUCAGCUCGUGUUGUGAAAUGUUGGGUUAAGUCCCGCAACGAGCGCAACCCUUAUCCUUUGUUGCCAGCGGUCCGGCCGGGAACUCAAAGGAGACUGCCAGUGAUAAACUGGAGGAAGGUGGGGAUGACGUCAAGUCAUCAUGGCCCUUACGACCAGGGCUACACACGUGCUACAAUGGCGCAUACAAAGAGAAGCGACCUCGCGAGAGCAAGCGGACCUCAUAAAGUGCGUCGUAGUCCGGAUUGGAGUCUGCAACUCGACUCCAUGAAGUCGGAAUCGCUAGUAAUCGUGGAUCAGAAUGCCACGGUGAAUACGUUCCCGGGCCUUGUACACACCGCCCGUCACACCAUGGGAGUGGGUUGCAAAAGAAGUAGGUAGCUUAACCUUCGGGAGGGCGCUUACCACUUUGUGAUUCAUGACUGGGGUGAAGUCGUAACAAGGUAACCGUAGGGGAACCUGCGGUUGGAUCACCUCCUUACCUUAAAGAAGC
This 1554-nucleotide ribosomal RNA is filed under the name Salmonella enterica subsp. enterica serovar Heidelberg. RNAcentral's name for it is "bacterial SSU rRNA". It matches the Rfam family "Bacterial small subunit ribosomal RNA". The record is from RNAcentral. RNAcentral also lists the same sequence under 1 other name. Lineage: Bacteria; Pseudomonadati; Pseudomonadota; Gammaproteobacteria; Enterobacterales; Enterobacteriaceae.